Chelonia mydas (Green sea turtle) is the source of this 5357-nucleotide long non-coding RNA. RefSeq lists it as uncharacterized. Lineage: Eukaryota; Metazoa; Chordata; Testudines; Cheloniidae. The record is from RefSeq and is a predicted model, not a curated record. The transcript has 5 exons.
GGAUGGAUCACUUGAUAAUUACCUGUUCUGUUCAUUCCUUCUGGGCACCUGGCAUUGGCCCCUCUUGGAAGCCAAAAUACUAGGCUAGAUGGACCUUUGGUCUGACCCAGUUUGGCCAUUCUAAUGUAUGUAAGGGACUGUGUGGCCAAGGCCUGUUCUAUGCUAUAUCCUAGACUUUUCUCCAGCUCUGGAAAGUUCAUUAGGAGGUAAAAACAAGAGCUCCUUAGCAUUCAGAUUUAUGCCACUUCAAUCACCGGGGACCUUCCUAAAUGGGCAUCUGUCCUUCAUUCAUACAGUGGGUAUGCAGAGGCCUCUUAAAAAUCUUAUUUUUGACUUCAGCUGUCUUGGGUUGCUGAUCUGACCAUUAACUACAGUCUCUUUAGGGGUGGGGUUUUGUUUACUCCAGCAGUCUAUCCCAGCUCAGCACUGCUUUGCUUUCUUCAUCCAUUUUGCCUGAGAAAACUAGUGUGCUACUUGACAGGACUCAGGUUCUUUCUACAGUGGAAGCGGUACUGUGCAAGAUACAGGUGAGUUAAAAGCAUAGGUGUGACUUGGACGGUUCUAGUGCUUUGAAAACCACUUUUGACUUGCUGAUAAAGCCAUGCUAUAGUAGAUUAACAUUGGUUAUAGGGGGGUUAGUCCAUAGCAUCUUUUGUUCACAACUUAUGGGGUUUCAUUUUUUUCUUACGCAGGAGAAAAAUCCACAGCUUAGCAAAAUAAACCUUCUGUCAAAGGUUUCUUCCAUGUUUUGUUUCACAUUAAAAACUUCAUUUGUCUUUAGUGGUCGUAUGCUUGCUUGGCAGAAGAAUGUUUUGACCAUCAAGUUUAAAGCAUCUAAUGACCACUUGGGCUAAAGGACUCAUUCAGUAUCCCAGCAUCUUCAGUUAAAGUGAGAUCUCUCAAUACACCGAAGCUGUCCUGCAGCAAAGCCUGGAAAGACUAGACUUGAUAUGCCCAAGACAGCCUGAAAUCAUGGACUUGAGGAGUGAACCAGCAUCAUCUGUCUAUGCUUCUGAAGUUUCUCCUCUACACUUUGAAGGCUAUUUGCUUUCCUUUCACAGUGUUUGGAAAGAGAGUUCCAAAAUUCUCCUACGUUGUCAAGACAAGCUCUGAAGGUCAGAUUUAUCAUGUUCUCAUCUUGUGUGAAUGCAUUAAGUUUGAUAUGAGGAAACUAUCUAAUCACCAGAAUUCUUAAAGCAAAUUGCCUUUUAAUCUUCCAAAUGCUGCCUUUAAUAUCAAUAUUAAUAUAUCAGUCAGUGAUCUAGCUUUUUUUAAAGCAAUAACUGUCUUAAUAUAUUUGAGUUAGAUGGUCACAGAAAUACACAACUUAUACGUAAAUAAAUAAUGUUUUAACCAAAGGUCACACAUGAUGGAAGCAACAAGUGCUAACAGUCCUUGGAGUUUCAGAAAGACAAAUAUUCAGACCAGAGUUGUGUUGCAAAGUUAAAAGCUAUGAAUAUUCCAGUUGGUAAAUAAAGAUUGUAAUCUAACUGUGCUGAAUUAGAUUAACAGUUAAGGUUUCAGAUCUAGAAACUUUUUUUUUAUAGACCAACUUUAGUGGGUUGAAGACACACUAGUAAAUGACUCGCUUUAUACUGACUACAGAAAAGACUGACAGUAGCAAAUAAGUACAACAAAAGUUACCCUGGAUUUGGUGGGUACACUUAUUACUACCCUUCCCUUCUUUCACUGUAGUUUCUAUGGGCCAAGUUCUGUAUCUCCUGAGCAUGAUGAGAAGCCAAAGAGACCAGCUGUAGAUAGACUUCUUGCUUCUGUAUCCUUGAUUAUCCACACAUGGAUAUAGACCAUUGCACCCUGCCUCAGUUACAUACAGAGCCAGUUCAUCUCCACAAGACUUCAGUCAUGACCCUGUGUAAUUUCUAAAGCCUUUCCUGUUCAACAGCAAGGAUGUCAUGUGCAAAGUUAGCCUAGCUCCCCAUUACUAUUGCACUCCCAUGGUAAACAGGCUUAUAGCUCUGCAACUGGUUAAACAGAAGUAGUUCAGUGUGUAACACUUUUCUUUAAUAGCACCAUGAUUUGUGAGAUUGAGAUGGGUGCUUUUCUUGAGAUGAACCAGCUGCCUGAACAACAUGCUUCAUUGUGGUACAUGUAGAAAGUGAGCCAAAAUUAGCCCUAAAUAGUUUGCCUCUGUAGAAGUAAAUAUUUGCAUUUGUCAGGGAGAGAAUUACUUUGCUGUAUGCUUCAUUAGGGACCAUAUAGAUGAUCCCAACCAGAAAAGGAACAGGGCCCCAUGGAAGCCCACUUGAACAAUGUUAUUGCAAACUGGAUAUUUAACUGUUUGCCCUCACUUGCAAAUUUUUCCACAUUUAAGAGACCUGAUUAAACAUCAAAAUGUAAAACUAGUUUUUUCCUCAAUUAUAGUACACUUUAUAUGAAUAGCAAAAAAAAGAACAGAGUAGAUAACUGAGGACAAUGGAAUGUUCUGUGAAUUAUAUUCAGGAAAUAUGCUUUCAUCUGUCAAUUAGAAACAGCCACUCUUUAAAGCCCCUCCCAAAAGAUUUAUACCUGAGUGCAGAAUUUCCUACAUAUUAAUAGGUAAACUAGAUACUCUGAAAAUAAGCGCUAAUAUGUGAAGUUAGAAACUGUACAAAAAUAGCAUAGGAAAAGCUUAGUUAAGCACCAUUUGGAGUUAGUCACCAAAUGGAAGGGCUCUCAUACUUCAGCAGAUAUUCCUUGCAUUGGUAUGUCAAGCUUCCUUUAGUUGAGCAACUGACAGAUCUCUUUAUGGACACAGCAUAGGAAAUCAACAUAAGAAGCUCCUCCGUAAAGACUUUUGUCUUCCACCAGCUUCCCUGGUGCUUCAGCAGUUGGCAAUGAAGAAUGGAAAAUAAACAACUUUCCAGCGCAUUCUGCUGCCUGUUACAAAUACACAGUAACAACCUUUUAUUCUGCUGGUGGUAUAAACAGAUUAACCUGAUUUUCAUGCAUUUGCGUAAACAAAAGUGUAAACUUUCCCUAAAUCCUCGUAAGCUAAAUUGUCCAUUUGUUUAGAGACUGAACUCUUCAUGGCACCAAAAUCCCAAAAGAAAAUCACUGGGAAUUUAAUAUCCAUAAAUAGCUUAAUCUAACAUAGAUAUGUCUGGUCAUAUGUGGUGUUUCAGUGAUUUCCACAUAGGAAUCUAGUCUCGAUGGACAAAGUUAACGAUACGUAUCCCAGACUGCUGUCAAUUUAAUUUUUUUUUUUAACGCCCAUGAGUUAAAUAGAAGGUACUACUGCAAUAUAAAUGUUAAACAACAAGAUGCAAUAAAGAAUAAACAGAUAGUGCAAUUCUGUAGUUCUUAUGCAUGAGUGAGUCCCACUGCAGUCAGAGUGGUGUGUGAACAAGGACAGAAGAAUCUGGCCCCCUCUCAAUUCUUUUUUCUCCACUUAAAUAAUGUCAAUAAAAGUUAUACAUAUAUAUCUGGAGAAGUUCUUUUUUAAAAAAAACAAUUUCCAAUUUAAAUCAUAUGUUGCAGGGAAUGAGAGAGUUUUUUUCUUCUUGGAUCACUAGGGGUAUAUGAACACCCAGGCUGAAGUCAAGGAAUCUUUAAAGGGUCUGAAGACAACAGCCUAACUUUGCUCAUGGGAUCCCUUAAUAUUUGAGCAAAGCUUAACAGUUAGGCUAAAAGAAGGGUUGCUAUGGUGUUCCAGAUUUUUUAAGAUUCUUUGUAUUCAUCCUGUACGUUUAUAUAUCUUGCUAGCCAGAAAAAAACCUUGUGCUGUCCAGGCAUGAUAUCUUUAUGGCCCUGAACCAAAUCUAAUUGAGGAAGUCUUUUCACUGACUUCAAUGGGCUUUGGAUCAGACCCCAUAUAGUAUGGGACAAGCCCAAAAAGAAAAAUUAUGGGGUUAGAGGAUGGCUGACGAGAUUGGUAAAGGGACCCACAGCCUUUCUGCUCGAGGUUGCAAAUAUCAUGUGGCUUGGUGCUAGCAACUGUUUGGCCACCUGCAUGAAGUAAGUUUGUAUUCUUAGUCCAGUAUCUAUUGAACAAGUGUCCACAUCACACAAAGCUACCCCCCUGACGGAAGUCUCAGCAGGGAAUCCAAAGACUGAAUGGAUGCUGAAAUUGAAAAAACCUUCUCAGGUGGUCCUUCCAACUCAGGCCAGAUGCACAUAGGUUGUAGGGAAGUCAAUAUGGGCUGUCUGUGUACACAGAAGACAUUGGGCCAGAUCCUUGGCUGGUGAAAGUUAGCAAAGCUAUGCUGACUUCAGUGGAGCUAUACUGAUUUACACCAGCUGAGGAUCUGGCCCUCUUUUGCUAAGUCCAGCAUCUAGCAUAGGUGGUAAAUUUUAAGAAAAUGACCUCAAACGGUAUUCAGGAAUUUAGGAGUUCUCUAUAUUCUUCAACUAACUCACCACCACCACAAGUCUUCUGCCAAAAUUUUACCUAAGCUUCCAUUUCACCUACUUAUGAAGACAGUGUGAUCAUUUUAAUAAUUGCUAACAGCUGGCAGGACAGCAGUUGUUAGAUUCUAAUAGGAAUGUUCUGCACUGAAGUGAACAGAACGACUGGCAAAAGUGUGGGAUGUUACAGAUAUAGGAACACAAAGAAAAACAGUCUACUUGGCUAAUCGGAUGACUUGCAGAAUAAAUGUACACAAGAAGUUUCCAGACAGGUCCAGACUGACCUGUUAUCAAGUGAAUUCAUUACUAGGUUUAUAAUUUUCUUGUGCCUGUACUUACUGUAUAUUUGUUUAUUUCUUUCCCUCGUGAGAGAUGUCUAUUCCAUUUGGCAUUUUUAUAAUUUUUAUAUAUAAAUGCGUAAUAUUUUUAAAAGAUUUUUUUUGUAAAAGUCCUAAAAAUAUUUAAUUCAAUGCACAUGAGCCACUAUUCAGGUUUUUUUUUAAAUUUAAGAAUGAAUGAAUGAAUUCUUGAGGGAAAUGCCUGGCAUCAAAAAUUACACUUCUAGAUGGAAAAGUCAAAACUACCAGUAUCUACACAUGUAAAAAAAGUUUCUUCCUGUAAUUAAGGGAUGCGGUAAAUGCAAUUAUAUUCAAAGUUUUUUUUACACUUAAAAUUUUAACAAAAUUUGGUAUUUGUCAACAGCUUCAGAUUGCCACCCUGCCGACUCAUGUGCUCAAUUCCCAGAACAGCAGAUGCAGCAACAGUACAAGUAUCCCAACCCUGUUCUACUUUAAUUGACAUUUCUAUUCAGAAGUGAUAAAUCCACAUUUAUUUAAUCCUUCAUCUUUCUACUGAGACUGCCCACUGGAGUGGAAACCAAAAUUAUAAUGGCCCUUUUUGUGAUUUGUUUAAAUAUUAAAGUUCCUGAUUUAAAAAAAAAAAAAGACACACGAAUGUGUGUGACUGCAUACCUAAAUUAUACUUGCAAUUCCAGUGACUAUGUACUACAUACA